AUUGAACGCUGGCGGAAUGCUUUACACAUGCAAGUCGAACGGCAGCACGGGGGCAACCCUGGUGGCGAGUGGCGAACGGGUGAGUAAUACAUCGGAACGUGCCCUGUCGUGGGGGAUAACGUAUCGAAAGUUACGCUAAUACCGCAUACGAUCUGAGGAUGAAAGCGGGGGACCUUCGGGCCUCGCGCGAUCGGAGCGGCCGAUGUCAGAUUAGGUAGUUGGUGGGGUAAAGGCCUACCAAGCCGACGAUCUGUAGCUGGUCUGAGAGGACGACCAGCCACACUGGGACUGAGACACGGCCCAGACUCCUACGGGAGGCAGCAGUGGGGAAUUUUGGACAAUGGGCGCAAGCCUGAUCCAGCCAUUCCGCGUGCAGGACGAAGGCCUUCGGGUUGUAAACUGCUUUUGUAUGGAACGAAAAGGCUCUGGCUAAUACCUGGGGCUCAUGACGGUACCGUAAGAAUAAGCACCGGCUAACUACGUG
This 484-nucleotide ribosomal RNA is filed under the name uncultured bacterium. RNAcentral describes it as "partial 16S ribosomal RNA". It matches the Rfam family "Bacterial small subunit ribosomal RNA", at positions 30 to 507 of the family's 1533-position model. The record is from RNAcentral.